AUGGUAGACGAUCGGCACAUGUCUUCGGAUAUGGCCCGGUAUGAACCUUCCCGUGCUUUUUAGAACAUAGAUGGCACCAGUCAGGUGACCAUCGAAACGCAAUACGCCACGGAAAUGCUUUUAGCAUUCGGAUGGUAUGGCGAGCUUUCGCCGUCCACGUUUCUCUUUCUUCAAGAAGACAAAGAACCGCGUCGAUCCGGAUAGUUUUUGCUGUCUGGACCGGUUUGACGAGAAUGGGCCCGUAGCUCAGUUGGUUAGAGCACACGCUUGAUAAGCGUGGGGUCGGAAGUUCAAGUCUUCCCGGGCCCACCAGCCUUCGCCCUUUUGGGCUAUGGCUUGGCGAGCCGGGAGUGAACGGAUGCGGUUUUGUUGCCGAGCCGAUGGAGCGAUCCAUUGGGUGUCGAGCUGGAUGGGGCUGUAGCUCAGCUGGGAGAGCACCUGCUUUGCAAGCAGGGGGUCAGCGGUUCGAUCCCGCUCAGCUCCACCAAAUCGAUUGGUGUCGAGACUGACGGUAAUUGUCUUCUGAAGAAAUAAAGGUUUUGCAUCGGCUUUUGAGCUGGAUGCGUGUUCUGCAUACAUUGUGAAGAGAAGAUUGAUCUGGAGGCUUCCAGGUGUUUUGAGCGACCGUAUGGUUGUUUAAGGCGUCCGAGCCCGGACCUGAUGAUAUCGUGGAUGGCCUAGCCGGCUGGAAACGAAGGAGGGGACGGAGGUAGGAAGGAAGCUUGUCGCUCUGAGCCGUUGUUGUUAGUCCUCUUCGAGGACUUCUGACGGACGGCUGGAUUACCGUUGCCUGACCGCGCGGUAUCGGAUCCAAUCUCGAGAAGCUGGUCUUAAGACAGGCUGCAAGCGAGCUGCUCGGCGUAGCUCCGAUAAAGCAAGCCUGUCGAACACGUCGAUGGCAUUGUUGAGUAGGCUGGGUUGUAAAAGGUAACCCGGUCUGUUGCUCGUUUCCGAAAGGGAAUGACGACUAGAUGAUGAGCAUUGGCAAUGAGAACGAUCAAGUGUCGUAAGGGUAUUUAGUGGAUGCCUAGGCAUGCACAGGCGAUGAAGGACGUGAUACGCUGCGAAAAGCCGUGGGAGCUGCGAAUAAG
This 1091-nucleotide transfer RNA is filed under the name Martinezella tropici. RNAcentral's name for it is "Rhizobium tropici partial contains 16S-23S ribosomal RNA intergenic spacer, and 23S ribosomal RNA". The stretch from base 236 to 309 matches the Rfam family "tRNA". The record is from RNAcentral. Lineage: Bacteria; Pseudomonadati; Pseudomonadota; Alphaproteobacteria; Hyphomicrobiales; Rhizobiaceae.